ACGAACGCUGGCGGCGUGCCUAAUACAUGCAUGUCGAGCGGACUAAUUAAGAGCUUGCUCUUAUGAGGUUAGCGGCGGACGGGUGAGUAACACGUGGGCAACCUGCCCUGUAGACUGGGAUAACGUCGAGAAAUCGGUGCUAAUACCGGAUAAUUGUUGGAACUGCAUAGUUCUAACUUAAAGAUGGCUCCGGCUAUCACUAUAGGAUGGGCCCGCGGCGCAUUAGCUAGUUGGUAGGGUAAUGGCCUACCAAGGCGAUGACGGGUAGCUGGUCUGAGAGGACGAUCAGCCACAAUGGCACUGAAACACGGGCCAUACUCCUACGGGAGGCAGCAGUGAGGAAUAUUGGACAAUCAACGCAAGUUGGAUCCAGCAACGCCGCGUGGACGAUGAAGGCUCUAGGGUUGUAAAGUCCUUUUGAGAGGGAAGAGGAAGGACGGUACCUCUCGAACAAGUCUCGGCUAACUACGUG
This 472-nucleotide ribosomal RNA is filed under the name uncultured bacterium. RNAcentral's name for it is "bacterial SSU rRNA". It matches the Rfam family "Bacterial small subunit ribosomal RNA", at positions 29 to 507 of the family's 1533-position model. The record is from RNAcentral.